Molecule: non-coding RNA, 27 nt
Filed under: Rattus norvegicus (Norway rat)
Lineage: Eukaryota; Metazoa; Chordata; Mammalia; Rodentia; Muridae
Source: RNAcentral
UGUACCACAUGUAGUAUCUGGGCAAAC